GCGUAGCUUAAUUGGUAAAGCGCCUGACUGUGGAUCAGGGGAUUGCCGGUUCAAAUCCGGUCGCGAGCCCCA
This 72-nucleotide transfer RNA is filed under the name Acidobacteriota bacterium. RNAcentral describes it as "Acidobacteria bacterium (activated sludge metagenome) tRNA-His". It matches the Rfam family "tRNA". From Rfam's summary of the family: Transfer RNA (tRNA) molecules are approximately 80 nucleotides in length. Lineage: Bacteria; Pseudomonadati; Acidobacteriota. The record is from RNAcentral.